Long non-coding RNA from Phyllopteryx taeniolatus (common seadragon), 2571 nucleotides. RefSeq lists it as uncharacterized. NCBI's taxonomy places the organism in Eukaryota, Metazoa, Chordata, Actinopteri, Syngnathiformes, Syngnathidae. The transcript has 3 exons. The record is from RefSeq and is a predicted model, not a curated record.
AUUCUCCAAUACGGAUGAGUCGUUGUACAUCAACGCCAGCUCAGAAUCUGAGUGGGGCAAAGAGUUUGAUGAAUUUAAAGUCAUGUUAAAUACACAAAAUCGCACAUCUUUUGUAGGACAAACUCACUAGUGUUGAUGAGAAACUGAUUGGAAACACCAGGGUGAUCCACAUCAUGGAUGGCACUGGCAAAGAGAGCGGCGAGGAUUUCCAGAUCGGUGAACACGGCCUUUACCACACAAGGAUAAUAAUCAAUUUAUAACCACCAGUGGUGUUGUUUCUUCUUAAUAAGUCUGUCUUUUCAGUGCUCGUGUACCUCCAGCGCAGGUGUUGAAAGCAGCACGUGAGUUGACUGGACAACGUCGGCGGCAUGGAUGUUGUUGUGAUACGCCACGUCUGCAUGGUAGUGAUCCUCCAAAGUCAUCAUGAAUGUAAUGAAAGUGUCAACUGGGAUCUUGAAAGACUUGAGCAGGUCGCGCUCCUGAGACAGAAGGCCAAGAUGACCUUCCUGGGUGGCGUUGACCCCAAAGCGAGGGAUGGUGGAUGGUGCGAGGCUGGGGCUGUGCGUAGGCUUCUUCACACCGCUGAUCUGGGACAUGGGUCGCUUCUUCUUCUCCUCCUUGGUGGGGGGAGCCAUGAUGUCCAUAUCAUGUUGCUUCUCUGUCAGAUGGACACAGACAAAAAUGUCAAGUGUCGCAGUGUGUAAUAAUGUAAUCAUUACUAUUUUUGCAACAUUAUACUUCCGCAGGGCCAUAUUCUCCCGUUGGUGCAUAAGUCAGUAUUUUACACACCUGGCUUGCGUGUUUUCCAGUUACACCGAUUUUGCCAUAAUGACUUCUGACAACAGUUUGAGAGGCGUGACUCAUUAAAGUCUGCCGGUGUGUAGAAUUCCCGAAAUGUGGAUUUUUCCUGAGACAUAUGAAAGCCUUUGAAAUACCCUCGCAGACUAUGUCACACUUUAAAUGUGAAAUCAACCAUCGUAGAGGAAACGCAAGUUAAUGGUCGCCUGAGAGAUGUCAGCACCGCUCCUCUAACAAGCAACAUGUGAACCUCAGGCAGUCCUCUGCACCCUCCCACAGCUCAUUCAUCAGUCAAGCACUCCCUACCUGAAUGAACAUCCACGACUCCGAGAUGAAAGGAUCCACUUCUGGCAUUUCAACGCAAAAUCAAGCAUGGGAGCAAGAAUAAAAUCAAGUGUGAGCGCUGAGCUUCAUGGUCAUCCUCUGCCACUGCCUGUAUGCUUCUUUCACUGCUUGCUUGAGCAGAAGCUCCUACAAGCAGGGAGCCCCCUGCUAAGCCUCGAUCGAUACAAGCGGAAAACUCUGGAGGGCCGAGGAAGAACGAGAGAGCUGGAAGCACAUCUGUGGGAAUGUGGUCGUCCGCCUUCCUUCCCCACUCUCCCUCAUUCACUCCCUUACUGCCUGCUCUUGUGUGUGUAAACAGUGAGACAACGGGGUACUCUUGUCCACGCCUCCCUCCAAAAAAAAAUGUCUAAGAAUAGCGGCCAAUCCGGCGAGUGCUGCAGCAGAGGCCGGGAGAGCCGCGGUCCUCUCAUUGGUCGAAAGCUACACAAAGUGGGUGGGGCCGAGCGUGUUGUAGCUGGAGGUUGUGAGAUGCACCAUGUGCACCAAGUUUGAAGACGAUAUAAAGAAAAAUGAUGAAAGAGAAGAUGAUAAGGGGGGCAGUUCAUUCAUGAAGCCAAAAAAAAAAAAAAAGAGUACAUCAUGUACCACAAUGUUGUGGGGGACAUUGACCAUCAUGAGCAUCAUCUACAGGAAAGAAUAUACUAUGCUGACAAAGCAUUAUAAAAAGUACAUGCUAUUUUGUAAAACUGUUUCCUUGUCUUUAUUGAGCCAGCAUGGGUUUAGUUCCCACUCAAUUACGGUGUGAAAAUGGAUGGAUGGCUAAUAAUCCGGGCUGGUGUGUCCGUUUUAAAGCGCCUCGUUGGCGGCUGUGAGUGCGCGCACAUCACAGUAAGGAAGGUGGAUAUCGCCAGGAGGGGAAAAGAAGGGUGGUGGUGGUGGGGUAGUCAGACUUGACAGCCAGCAGGUGGACAGUGCCCCACGCUGAUAUCGCCUUUUUAGAGCGCCUCGUUGUCGGCCGUGACGACAUGGUGGGAUAUAUUCCAGACACCGCAGGCUUUAUGCGUCUAUAUUUUCACGGCUCAAUCAUUUCGGGAUGUGUAGGCAUAAGAAAGAUGCUAGACGAAGUAGCAUUCACUUUUUCAGGUUGUAGUAGUGGUAUUGGAUUGACAGUUGACAGAUGAGCAGGACGUGGUUUCCGUGCCUUCAGCAGACACGGUACAGCGUUUGAUAACAGCUUGAUUUUUCAUUAUUUUGAAGCCUCAUUCUAUAUACUUGGCUAUUGAUUUUAAUAAUUCAAAUUUGUAAGGGUUGUUAACAACUCUUCUUUAUGGUGUAUGAAAUUUAGAAGACACACUGUUUGUGAACAUACCACAUUUUGGCUCACAGGCACGCUGAUGUCUUCAUUGUGGAACAAACCCUAACCAUGACAACCUGAGAAAGAAAGUUUGAUUUACUGUAAAUCUACCCACUUAUCAAAUGGGAAUGGAA